Molecule: ribosomal RNA, 492 nt
Filed under: uncultured bacterium
Lineage: Bacteria
Description: partial 16S ribosomal RNA
Rfam family: Bacterial small subunit ribosomal RNA
Source: RNAcentral
AGUGAACGCUGGCGGUAGGCCUAACACAUGCAAGUCGAACGGCAGCACAGUAAGAGCUUGCUCUUACGGGUGGCGAGUGGCGGACGGGUGAGGAAUACAUCGGAAUCUACUUUUUCGUGGGGGAUAACGUAGGGAAACUUAUGCUAAUACCGCAUACGACCUACGGGUGAAAGCAGGGGAUCUUCGGACCUUGCGCGAUUGAAUGAGCCGAUGUCGGAUUAGCUAGUUGGCGGGGUAAAGGCCCACCAAGGCGACGAUCCGUAGCUGGUCUGAGAGGAUGAUCAGCCACACUGGAACUGAGACACGGUCCAGACUCCUACGGGAGGCAGCAGUGGGGAAUAUUGGAUAAUGGGCGCAAGCCUGAUCCAGCCAUACCGCGUGGGUGAAGAAGGCCUUCGGGUUGUAAAGCCCUUUUGUUGGGAAAGAAAAGCAGCAGGUUAAUACCCCGCUGUUCUGACGGUACCCAAAGAAUAAGCACCGGCUAACUUCGUG